UGCCCCUAAGACGAGGAUAACAGUUGGAAACGACUGCUAAGACUGGAUAGGAGACAAGAAGGCAUCUUCUUGUUUUUAAAAGACCUAGCAAUAGGUAUGCUUAGGGAGGAGCUUGCGUCACAUUAGUUAGUUGGUGGGGUAAAGGCCUACCAAGACUAUGAUGUGUAGCCGGGCUGAGAGGUUGAACGGCCACAUUGGGACUGAGACACGGCCCAAACUCCUACGGGAGGCAGCAGUAGGGAAUUUUCGGCAAUGGAGGAAACUCUGACCGAGCAACGCCGCGUGAACGAUGAAGUAUUUCGGUACGUAAAGUUCUUUUAUUAGGGAAGAAUAAAUGAUGGAAAAAUCAUUCUGACGGUACCUAAUGAAUAAGCCCCGGCUAACUAUGUGCCAGCAGCCGCGGUAAUACAUAGGGGGCAAGCGUUAUCCGGAAUUAUUGGGCGUAAAGGGUGCGUAGGCGGUUAAAUAAGUUUAUGGUCUAAGUGCAAUGCUCAACAUUGUGAUGCUAUAAAAACUGUUUAGCUAGAGUAAGAUAGAGGCAAGUGGAAUUCCAUGUGUAGUGGUAAAAUGCGUAAAUAUAUGGAGGAACACCAGUAGCGAAGGCGGCUUGCUGGGUCUUUACUGACGCUGAGGCACGAAAGCGUGGGGAGCAAACAGGAUUAGAUACCCUGGUAGUCCACGCCGUAAACGAUGAGUACUAAACGUUGGGUAAAACCAGUGUUGAAGUUAACACAUUAAGUACUCCGCCUGAGUAGUACGUACGCAAGUAUGAAACUUAAAGGAAUUGACGGGACUCCGCACAAGCGGUGGAUCAUGUUGUUUAAUUCGAAGGUACCCGAAAAACCUCACCAGGUCUUGACAUGCUUCUGCAAAGCUGUAGAAACACAGUGGAGGUUAUCAGUUGCACAGGUGGUGCAUGGUUGUCGUCAGCUCGUGUCGUGAGAUGUUGGGUUAAGUCCCGCAACGAGCGCAACCCUUAUUGUUAGUUACCAGCACGUAAUGGUGGGGACUUUAGCAAGACUGCCAGUGAUGAAUUGGAGGAAGGUGGGGACGACGUCAAAUCAUCAUGCCCCUUAUGACCUGGGCUACAAACGUGAUACAAUGGCUGUUACAAAGGGUAGCUGAAGCGCAAGUUUUUGGCGAAUCUCAAAAAAACAGUCUCAGUUCGGAUUGAAGUCUGCAACUCGACUUCAUGAAGUUGGAAUCGCUAGUAAUCGCGAAUCAGCAUGUCGCGGUGAAUACGUUCUCGGGGUUUGUACACACCGCCCGU
Molecule: ribosomal RNA, 1270 nt
Filed under: 'Solanum phureja' aster yellows phytoplasma
Lineage: Bacteria; Bacillati; Mycoplasmatota; Mollicutes; Acholeplasmatales; Acholeplasmataceae
Description: bacterial SSU rRNA
Rfam family: Bacterial small subunit ribosomal RNA
Source: RNAcentral